AACGAACGCUGGCGGCAGGCCUAACACAUGCAAGUCGAACGGUAACAGCAAACAUCUUGCUGUUUCGCUGCCGAGUGGCGGACGGGUGAGUCAUGGCUGGGAAACCGCUUGCUGGAGGGGGAUAUCAACUGGAAACGGUUGCUAAUACCGCAGAACGUCGCCAGAUCAAUGAGGGGGAGCUUCGUGCCUCUUGUCGUCGGAUGUGCGCAGAUGGGAUUAGCUAGUAGGUGGGGUAACGGCUCACCUCGGCGGCGAUCUCUAGCUGGUCUGAGGGGAUGACCAGCGACACGGGCGGUGAGAAGGGGUCCAGACUCCUACGGUAGGCAGCAGUGGGGAAUAUUGCGCAAUGGGGGAGAGCCUGAUGCAGCAAUGCGGCGUGUAUGAAGAAGGCGUUCGGGUUGGAAAGUACUUUCAGCGGGGGUGAAGGGAAUAACGUUAAUACCUUAGGUCAUUGACGUUACCCGCAGAAGAAGCACCGGCUAACUCCGUG
This 490-nucleotide ribosomal RNA is filed under the name uncultured bacterium. RNAcentral describes it as "partial 16S ribosomal RNA". It matches the Rfam family "Bacterial small subunit ribosomal RNA", at positions 29 to 507 of the family's 1533-position model. The record is from RNAcentral.